This 244-nucleotide ribosomal RNA is filed under the name uncultured Glomus. Its description in RNAcentral is "partial 18S ribosomal RNA". It matches the Rfam family "Eukaryotic small subunit ribosomal RNA", at positions 569 to 817 of the family's 1831-position model. The record is from RNAcentral. Lineage: Eukaryota; Fungi; Glomeromycota; Glomeromycetes; Glomerales; Glomeraceae.
AGCAGCCGCGGUAAUUCCAGCUCCAAUAGCGUAUAUUAAAGUUGUUGCAGUUAAAAAGCUCGUAGUUGAAUUUCGGGGUCAGUAGGUCGGUCGUGCCACUGGUAUGAACUGGUUUUACUGAUUCCUCCCUCUUGAAGAACUGUAAUGCCAUUAAUUUGGUGUUGCAGGGAAUCAGGACUGUUACUUUGAAAAAAUUAGAGUUGUUUAAAGCAAGCUAACGCUUGAAUACAUUAGCAUGGAAUAA